CACAAGACUCUCGGCAACGGAUAUCUCGGCUCUCGCAUCGAUGAAGAACGUAGCAAAAUGCGAUACCUGGUGUGAAUUGCAGAAUCCCGUGAACCAUCGAGUUUUUGAACGCAAGUUGCGCCCGAGGCCUUUCGGUCGAGGGCACGUCUGCCUGGGCGUCACGC
RNAcentral lists this ribosomal RNA (164 nucleotides) under Distichlis australis. RNAcentral describes it as "5.8S ribosomal RNA". It matches the Rfam family "5.8S ribosomal RNA". Rfam says of the family: 5.8S ribosomal RNA (5.8S rRNA) is a component of the large subunit of the eukaryotic ribosome. It is transcribed by RNA polymerase I as part of the 45S precursor that also contains 18S and 28S rRNA. Functionally, it is thought that 5.8S rRNA may be involved in ribosome translocation. Lineage: Eukaryota; Viridiplantae; Streptophyta; Magnoliopsida; Poales; Poaceae. The record is from RNAcentral.